CCUACGGGUGGCAGCAGUGAGGAAUAUUGGUCAAUGGACGAGAGUCUGAACCAGCCAAGUAGCGUGAAGGAUGACUGCUCUAUGGGUUGUAAACUUCUUUUAUAAAGGAAUAAAACGAGGCACGUGUGCCUUUUUGCAUGUACUUUAUGAUUAAGGAUAGGCUAACUCCGUGCCAGCAGCCGCGGUAAUACGGAGGAUCCGAGCGUUAUCCGGAUUUAUUGGGUUUAAAGGGAGCGUAGAUGGGUUGUUAAGUCAGUUGUGAAAGUUUGCGGCGCAACCGUAAAAUUGCAAUUGAUACUGGCAGUCUGGAGUACAGUUGAGGUAGGCGGAAUUCGUGGUGUAGCGGUGAAAUGCUUAGAUAUCACGAAGAACCCCGAUUGCGAAGGCAGCCUACUAAACUGUGACUGACAUUGAUGCUCGAAAGUGUGGGUAUCAAACAGGAUUAGAUACCCUUGUAGUC
Molecule: ribosomal RNA, 460 nt
Filed under: uncultured bacterium
Lineage: Bacteria
Description: partial 16S ribosomal RNA
Rfam family: Bacterial small subunit ribosomal RNA
Source: RNAcentral